This 451-nucleotide ribosomal RNA is filed under the name uncultured Acholeplasma sp. Its description in RNAcentral is "bacterial SSU rRNA". It matches the Rfam family "Bacterial small subunit ribosomal RNA", at positions 927 to 1382 of the family's 1533-position model. The record is from RNAcentral. Lineage: Bacteria; Bacillati; Mycoplasmatota; Mollicutes; Acholeplasmatales; Acholeplasmataceae.
AAGCGGUGGAUCAUGUUGUUUAAUUCGAUGAUACGCGAAGAACCUUACCAGGUCUUGACAUCCCCCGCGAUGCUUUAGAGAUAAAGCGGAGGUAUUCGGGGAGACAGGUGGUGCAUGGUUGUCGUCAGCUCGUGUCGUGAGAUGUUGGGUUAAGUCCCGCAACGAGCGCAACCCCUAUUGCUAGUUACCAUCAUUAAGUUGGGGACUCUAGCGAGACUGCCAGUGAUAAACUGGAGGAAGGUGGGGGAUGACGUCAAAUCAUCAUGCCCCUUAUGACCUGGGCUACAAACGUGAUACAAUGGCUGGAACAAAGGGAUGCGAAGCAGUGAUGUGGAGCGAAACCCAUAAAAACAGUCUCAGUUCGGAUUGAAGUCUGCAACUCGACUUCAUGAAGUCGGAAUCGCUAGUAAUCGCGGAUCAGAACGCCGCGGUGAAUACGUUCUCGGGGUUU